This is a long non-coding RNA of Oreochromis aureus, 733 nucleotides long. RefSeq lists it as uncharacterized. NCBI's taxonomy places the organism in Eukaryota, Metazoa, Chordata, Actinopteri, Cichliformes, Cichlidae. The record is from RefSeq and is a predicted model, not a curated record. The transcript has 3 exons.
UUUGAACAAUUAAUCAAAUGAUCAUUUUACUACAGGUCACAUACACUGCUGUCAAAAACUCAAACUCAAUUGUGAAGAACAUUCUUCUUGCACUUGACUCUCACCAUCAGCUAAGUAACACUGUUCUAAAUCGGUUUCCCUUCAUCCUGCAGUAUUAAAUAUCAAAAUUUUAGGAAAUUGCUCUGGUAUUUCAUUAAGUGCUGCAGUGGUGAGUGUGUCAACAGGGCUGGCAACUGUGUUCCGGGGUCCUCCCUGAGGCGGAGUCAGGCAAUCUCCCGCACCUGGGACUAAUCAGCUGCAAUGUGGAGGCUGCAUUUAAACCCGGCCUGGGCAACUCUCCUUCACCAGUCCGUCAGCUACUCAUGCUAGCUUCAAUACUCACUCUGUUGGAAGCCUCCAGCUGGGAAACCUCAUCAUUUGCAACCGAUCCUGCUCAGUCCUUCACUCUCUCUGCCUGCCGUCUGCUUCAAGGUACUGGACUCACAGAUCGGACUUCUUUCCCUGUCACAAAACCACUCACUCGGAUCAGCACUCCUCCCCAAAACUGAACCGUCUCUUUGUACGAAGAGAGACUGUGUGCUCCCCGCCCUGGAAAAACCUGUCCUUUGUGCUUUCCCCACGUCCCCAGUGUUUCCGGAGAAACUUCCUGAUGCCCUGCACAUUCCCCUUUGAACAUAGAUUCUUGUAAAUAGUUGUCACCAGAUUAGGUUGAGGGGUUUAGGUGUUGUUAUUC